AUGGCCGGGCAGGUACUCUUUGACGGCCGGGCCUGCUCCAAGGCCUUCGACAUGGGACACGCUGGCAGCCCGGGCUGCAUCUACUUCCUCGACGACGUCUACCCUGGUGGUCCGCACAGUGUCCUCCAGCUGAACGAGUAUCCCUGCGCCGAUGCCGGCGGAUGGCGUUACUCAAUCUCCAAUGAGAUCGAGCGUUGCCUGCCAUGGUCUCCCCCUUCCGACACCUCGCCGUGCAUUUGGUACCACCACUAA
This 252-nucleotide ribosomal RNA is filed under the name Triticum aestivum (bread wheat). RNAcentral's name for it is "partial small subunit ribosomal RNA". The record is from RNAcentral. Lineage: Eukaryota; Viridiplantae; Streptophyta; Magnoliopsida; Poales; Poaceae.